AGAGUUUGAUCCAUGGCUCAGGAUGAACGCUGGCGGCGUGCUUAACACAUGCAAGUCGAACGAUGAUCCCAGCUUGCUGGGGGAUUAGUGGCGAACGGGUGAGUAACACGUGAGUAACCUGCCCUUAACUCUGGGAUAAGCCUGGGAAACUGGGUCUAAUACCGGAUAUGACUCCUCAUCGCAUGGUGGGGGGUGGAAAGCUUUAUUGUGGUUUUGGAUGGACUCGCGGCCUAUCAGCUUGUUGGUGAGGUAAUGGCUCACCAAGGCGACGACGGGUAGCCGGCCUGAGAGGGUGACCGGCCACACUGGGACUGAGACACGGCCCAGACUCCUACGGGAGGCAGCAGUGGGGAAUAUUGCACAAUGGGCGAAAGCCUGAUGCAGCGACGCCGCGUGAGGGAUGACGGCCUUCGGGUUGUAAACCUCUUUCAGUAGGGAAGAAGCGAAA
This 448-nucleotide ribosomal RNA is filed under the name Arthrobacter sp. LNA21. RNAcentral's name for it is "bacterial SSU rRNA". It matches the Rfam family "Bacterial small subunit ribosomal RNA", at positions 8 to 455 of the family's 1533-position model. Lineage: Bacteria; Bacillati; Actinomycetota; Actinomycetes; Micrococcales; Micrococcaceae. The record is from RNAcentral.